GUUAGUCGGGAGGGGGCGCUGUACGCGCGCUGUACGCUUGCGCGAGGUGACGCCGGGGCAGGGCCGGAAGGAAUGCAGCGGCUGCCACGGAGCUCGUAGCUGCAGCUUUGGAGGAGUAAGCGGCGUGGUAGCGAAGGUCGCCGAACCCGCCUGGCUAGCCGGCGAGUUGAGUGGCGACUCUUUUGAAACAGAUGGUCACCAUGUUUAGAUAUUAGCAGUCCCGUAUGUGCAUGUCUGCAUUUGAAAAUGGAAGAGGGAAACAACAAUGAAGAGGUAAUUCACUUGAACAACUUUCACUGCCAUCGGGGACAAGACUUUGUAAUUUUCUUCUGGAAAACCCAGAUUAUCCAAAGAGAGAAGACAGAAUCAUUAUAAAUCCCAGUAGCAGUCUGCUGGCCAGCCAAGAUGAGACAAAGUUGCCUAAAAUAAGACUUUUUUGACUAUUCUAAAUUGACUCCUCUUGACCAGCACUGCUUCAUCCAAGCUGCUGACCUCCUCAUGGCCGACUUCAAAGUGCUCAGUAGUCAGGACAUCAUGUGGGCCCUGCACGAGCUCAAAGGACACUAUGCAAUCACCCGAAAGGCCUUUUCUGAUGCCAUUAAAAAAUGGCAGGAGCUAUCACCAGAAACCAGUGGAAAAAGGAAAAAGAGAAAAGAAAUGAACCAGUAUUCUUAAAUUGAUUUCAAGUUUGAACAAGGGGUUGGCAUCUGCACAUCCUUCCUGGGCAUCUCGUGGGCACUGCUCGAUUACCACCAGGCCUUGCACACCUGCCUCCCCUCCAAGCCCCUCCUGGGCCUGGGCUCCUCUGUGAUCUACGUCCUGUGGAACCUGCUGCUACUGUGGCCCCGAGUCCUAGCUGUGGCCCUGUUCUCAGCCCUCUUCCCCAGUAUGUAGCCCUGCAUUUCCUGGGCCUGUGGCUGGUACUGCUGCUCUGGGUUUGGCUUCAAGGCACAGACUUCAUGCUGGACCCCAGUUCCGAGUAUCCUCUAUUUCUCCUGGUUCAACGUGGCUGAGGGCCACACCCGAGGCCGGGCCACCAUCCACUUGGCUUUCCUCCUGAGUGACAGCAUUCUCCUGGUGGCCACCUGGGUGACUUACAGCUCCUGGCUGCCCAGCAGGAUUCCACUGCAGCUGUGGCUGCCUGUAGGAGGCGGAUGCUUCUUUCUGGGCCUGGCUCUGUGGCUUGUGUGCUACUGCUGGCUGCACCCUAGCUGAUGCUGGGAGCCCAACCCUGACCAGGUGGACAGGACCCAGAGUCUACUUUCCUCAGAGGGGUAUCAGCUGCCUCAGACCCAGUUAGCACAGAACUUUUUUCCCAAGGGUAAGGCUGAGGCUGCUUCGCCAGUGAAGGGAGAGGUGAACGGCGUCCUUUGAAGCAGGAUCAGACCCAGCCAGCAGAGAUGGAGAGUGACUGCUGGCAGAAGGCAGGCGAGGAUAAGCUAACGAUGCUGCUGUGGCCUCCAUGCACUCAGCAAGAGUGGGAUGCCUCUGCUGGGCCGUGCACCAGGGAUGGUGCUGAGUGGGGCAGAGGCCUGCCUUCAAGGAGUUCACAGUGAACAAGAUGAGAAGGGCUGGGCCCUGCAGGGUCAAGAGCCCCAAUUACGUACAAGACACUUUGGGAGGAAAGACGACUACCUUUUCUUUUCCCCCUGCCAUUGGUAUAGCUGGUGCCCCAAAACUUUCACCUCCCUCCCUGGCCACCUCUAAAAUGAUUGGUAUAGGGGCUUCCCCACCCCUUAGCUCCCCUAUCCUGGGCUAGAAGGCCACAGGGACUGUCCUCUAGAAUUCUUCCUCCCCUCCCCCACACCAUUCAUUCAAUUCGUGAAACAAAUCUUCACCGAGAGCAGUUUAUGUGCUAGGAACAUCAUUCUAUCCUUGCAACCUGGAACAAGACCAGCUACCACCUUAGCUUCAUCCCCUACUUGCACCAACCAGUCCCGGGUUAGAUCUCAAAUGCCGGAAGUCAGGGAUGCCCAACUCUGGGCAGCCCCAGUCAGAACCUCUGGGAUCUCAGUGAAGCUGGCCUGGCCUCUGCUCUUGCUCUCAAGGGGCUGCUUUUCAACCAAGAGCCUUGUGAGCCUGGUCUGAGCCUUGCACAGCCACUGAGUAUUUUUUAUUCCUUAGCCAGUGUACCUCCUACCUCAGAGUCUAUGUGAGAGGAAGAGAAUGUGUGUCCCUGUGGGUCUCUGCAAGUGACAGAUGUGUUGUUUUUAACAGUAUUAUUAGGUUAUGAUUAAAGCCUCAUGAAAUCCUCUAA
Molecule: long non-coding RNA, 2257 nt
Filed under: Homo sapiens (human)
Lineage: Eukaryota; Metazoa; Chordata; Mammalia; Primates; Hominidae
Description: non-protein coding lnc-RBAK-RBAKDN-2:14
Source: RNAcentral